RNAcentral lists this ribosomal RNA (433 nucleotides) under uncultured bacterium. RNAcentral describes it as "partial 16S ribosomal RNA". It matches the Rfam family "Bacterial small subunit ribosomal RNA", at positions 29 to 507 of the family's 1533-position model. The record is from RNAcentral.
AACGAACGCUGGCGGCAUGCCUAACACAUGCAAGUCGAACGAGACCUUCGGGUCUAGUGGCGAACGGGUGAGUAACGCGUGGGAACCUGCCCUUAGGUUCGGAAUAACCCCCCGAAAGGGGUGCUAAUACCGGAUAAUGUCUUCGGACCAAAGAUUUAUCGCCUUUGGAUGGGCCCGCGUUGGAUUAGCUAGUUGGUAGGGUAAAAGCCUACCAAGGCGACGAUCCAUAGCUGGUCUGAGAGGAUGAUCAGCCACACUGGGACUGAGACACGGCCCAGACUCCUACGGGAGGCAGCAGUGGGGAAUAUUGGACAAUGGGCGAAAGCCUGAUCCAGCAAUGCCGCGUGAGUGAUGAAGGCCUUAGGGUUGUAAAGCUCUUUUACCCGGGAUGAUAAUGACAGUACCGGGAGAAUAAGCUCCGGCUAACUCCGUG